GGCUCGGUAGCUCAGUUGGUAGAGCAAUGGAUUGAAGUUCCAUGUGUCGGCGGUUCGAUUCCGUCUCGCGCCA
This 73-nucleotide transfer RNA is filed under the name Streptococcus suis. RNAcentral describes it as "tRNA-Phe". It matches the Rfam family "tRNA". Rfam says of the family: Transfer RNA (tRNA) molecules are approximately 80 nucleotides in length. Their secondary structure includes four short double-helical elements and three loops (D, anti-codon, and T loops). Lineage: Bacteria; Bacillati; Bacillota; Bacilli; Lactobacillales; Streptococcaceae. RNAcentral also lists the same sequence under 2 other names. The record is from RNAcentral.